RNAcentral lists this unclassified non-coding RNA (69 nucleotides) under Modestobacter sp. DSM 44400. The record is from RNAcentral. Lineage: Bacteria; Bacillati; Actinomycetota; Actinomycetes; Geodermatophilales; Geodermatophilaceae.
GAGAGCCGGAUGCUCGGGAACGGGCACGUCCGGUUCGGAGGGCGGCCCGGGGAAACGGACCAGCCGCGA